Molecule: non-coding RNA, 566 nt
Organism: Cherax quadricarinatus
Lineage: Eukaryota; Metazoa; Arthropoda; Malacostraca; Decapoda; Parastacidae
Source: RefSeq, a predicted model, not a curated record
AGAAGAUUCCAGAGCAGCGAGAGGACAUCCCAGUGCAUCGUUUCAGCAUAAAUAGUGGAAGUAUUGUGCAGUUUUGUGAGGGUUCAGUCGGGACCAGUCAGUGCCUCCCACCCACUCCGGGGGGAGGGGGCGGGAUGUGUUGGUGACACCCCGCCCCAGGCCGUGCCCCGUGUGUAGUGACCCUCUCAUAACCCCUCACCCCUGCGCCUCACCCUCCUAGCGCCACCCCAACUGUAGAGGGUACUUUCCCCUCCCAACCCACGAUGUCAGCGAUUGCACAUGGUGUGCCGGGGUCACGGGAAUUUCCACUGCAGAGACAGCAUCGUGGAGUUCGACCGCGAGGCAGCUGUCAGGUGCGCUGUAGUGAUACUGGUCCUGUGGGGAGCAGCAGCAGGAUAAUACUGCACCACCUCUUGGGGCCAUUAACAACAACAACAGUUUGGUGUGUGUCAUGGGCACCAACACAUGGUGUGUGAUUCUCUCCUCCUCUAUCUAUAUAUAUAUUAGUGAUGCAGAUUACAUGAAGUACUAUGAAGAUUCUAUGUUCAAUAAAGCCUAGAGAUAAG